UCCCUGGUGGCUCAGAUGGUAAAGAAUCUGCCUGCAAUGCAAGAGACCCAGGUUCGAUCCCUGGGUUGGGAA
Molecule: transfer RNA, 72 nt
Filed under: Bos indicus (zebu cattle)
Lineage: Eukaryota; Metazoa; Chordata; Mammalia; Artiodactyla; Bovidae
Also listed under: 3 other names
Rfam family: tRNA
About the family: Transfer RNA (tRNA) molecules are approximately 80 nucleotides in length.
Source: Rfam by way of RNAcentral